RNAcentral lists this ribosomal RNA (1309 nucleotides) under metagenome. Its description in RNAcentral is "bacterial LSU rRNA". It matches the Rfam family "Bacterial large subunit ribosomal RNA", at positions 1581 to 2925 of the family's 2925-position model. The record is from RNAcentral.
UUAUGUUGUGCGUGUGUAAAGGUAGUGCCAAGAAAAGCGAUGAUCAUGUUGAAAAUCAAUUCCCGGUACCCGAAACCGACACAGGUGGGCAAGUAGAGAAUACUAAGGGGCGCGAGGUAACUCUCUCCAAGGAACUCGGCAAAAUGACCCCGUAACUUAGGGAGAAGGGGUGCCACCGAGAGGUGGUCGCAGUGAAGAGGCCCAGGCGACUGUUUAGCAAAAACAUAGGUCUCUGCAAACUCGAAAGAGGAGGUAUAGGGGCUGACGCCUGCCCAGUGCCGGAAGGUUAAAGAAGUUGGUCAGUUUUAGGAUGAAGCUAGCGACUGAAGCCCCGGUGAACGGCGGCCGUAACUAUAACGGUCCUAAGGUAGCGAAAUUCCUUGUCGGGUAAAUUCCGACCCGCACGAAAGGCGUAACGAUCUGGGCGCUGUCUCGGAGAGAGGCUCGGCGAAAUAGGAUUGUCUGUGAAGAUACGGACUACCUGCAUUUGGACAGAAAGACCCUAUGAAGCUUUACUAUAGCUUGGAAUUGUGUUCGGGCUUCCUGUGCGCAGGAUAGGUGGGAGGCGUAGAAGGUAUUCUUGUGGGGAUACUGGAGCCAAGGGUGAGAUACCACUCUCAGGAGGCUAGAAUUCUAACUUAAUUAAGGACAGUUUCAGGUGGGUAGUUUGACUGGGGCGGUCGCCUCCAAAAAGGUAACGGAGGCGUACAAAGGUUCCCUCAGACUGGUUGGAAAUCAGUCGAAGAGUGCAAAGGCAGAAGGGAGCUUGACUGCGAGAAGUACAGUUCGAGCAGGGUGGGAACACGGUCUUAGUGAUCCGACGGUGCUGUGUGGAAGGGCCGUCGCUCAACGGAUAAAAGUUACUCUAGGAUAACAGGCUGAUCUCCCCCAAGAGUUCACAUCGACGGGGAGGUUUGGCACCUCGAUGUCGGCUCAUCGCAACCUGGGGCGGAAGUACGUCCCAAGGGUUGGGCUGUUCGCCCAUUAAAGCGGUACGUGAGCUGGGUUCAGAACGUCGUGAGACAGUUCGGUCCAAAUCCGAUGUAGGCGUGAGAAUAUUGAGAGGAGCCUUCCUUAGUACGAGAGGACCGGGAAGGACGCACCGCUGGUGUACCUGUUAUGAUGCCAAUAGUAAACGCAGGGUAGCCAAGUGCGGAGAGGAUAACCGCCGAAAGCAUCUAAGUGGGAAGCCCACCUCAAGAUGAGUAUUCUGGUGUAAGGUCACGGGAGGACGACCCGUAAAUAGGCACGAGGUGGAAGUGCAGAGAUGUAUGAAGCCGAAGUGUACUAAUAGACCGUCGGCUUGACC